GACGAACGCUGGCGGCGUGCUUAACACAUGCAAGUCGAACGGAAAGGCCCUGCUUUUGUGGGGUGAUCGAGUGGCGAACGGGUGAGUAACACGUGAGUAACCUGCCCUUGACUUUGGGAUAACUUCAGGAAACUGGGGCUAAUACCGGAUAGGAGCCCCUGUUGCAUGGUGGGGGUUGGAAAGUUUCGGCGGUUGGGGAUGGACUCGCGGCUUAUCAGCUUGUUGGUGGGGUAGUGGCUUACCAAGGCUUUGACGGGUAGCCGGCCUGAGAGGGUGACCGGCCACAUGGGGACUGAGAUACGGCCCAGAGUGCUACGGGAGGCAGCAGUGGGGAAUAUUGCACAAUGGGCGGAAGCCUGAUGCAGCAACGCCGCGUGCGUGAUGACGGCCUGCUGGUUGUAAACCGCUGUCGCCUGUGACGAAGCGUUAGUGACGGUAAUGGGUAAAGAAGCACCGGCUAACUACGUG
This 468-nucleotide ribosomal RNA is filed under the name uncultured bacterium. RNAcentral describes it as "partial 16S ribosomal RNA". It matches the Rfam family "Bacterial small subunit ribosomal RNA", at positions 28 to 507 of the family's 1533-position model. The record is from RNAcentral.